RNAcentral lists this ribosomal RNA (266 nucleotides) under Blastocystis hominis. RNAcentral's name for it is "partial 18S ribosomal RNA". It matches the Rfam family "Eukaryotic small subunit ribosomal RNA", at positions 62 to 350 of the family's 1831-position model. Lineage: Eukaryota; Bigyra; Opalinata; Blastocystidae. The record is from RNAcentral.
AGUAUAAAUAGUUAACUUUGAAACUGCGAAUGGCUCAUUAUAUCAGUUAUAGUUUAUUUGAUGAAGAAUACUAAUUGGAUAACCGUAGUAAUUCUAGAGCUAAUACAUGUMUAAAGUCUUGUAGACUGCAUUUAUUAGAAUGAAAACCAUAGGUUUCGGCCUAUUCGUGAGUAAUAAUAACUAAUCAUAUCGUAUGCUUAUGUAACGAUGUGUCUUUCAAGUUUCUGCCCUAUCAGCUUUCGAUGGUAGUGUAUUGGACUACCAUG